ACUGGGUGGCGUGCUCCUGUAGUCCCACACAGGACGCUGAGACAGGAGGAGCACUUCAGUCGGGGAGUUCUGGGCUGUAGUGCGCAAUGCCUAUGGGCGUCCCACGAAGUUCCACAUCAAUAUGGCAACCUCCCGGGAGUGGGGGGACCACCAGGUUGCCUAAGGAGGGAUGAACCGGCCCAGGUCGGAAACAGAGCAGGUCAAAACUCCCGUGCUGAUCAGUAGUGGGAUCAUGCCUGUGAAUAGCCACUGCACUCUAGCCUGGCCAACAUAGCAAGACCCCAUCUCU
This 289-nucleotide signal recognition particle RNA is filed under the name Microcebus murinus (gray mouse lemur). RNAcentral describes it as "Metazoan signal recognition particle RNA (ENSMICG00000032192.2)". It matches the Rfam family "Metazoan signal recognition particle RNA". Rfam says of the family: The signal recognition particle (SRP) is a universally conserved ribonucleoprotein. It is involved in the co-translational targeting of proteins to membranes. The record is from RNAcentral. Lineage: Eukaryota; Metazoa; Chordata; Mammalia; Primates; Cheirogaleidae.